AAUCUUUCAAAUCCAAUAAAACAUAUGCCUUUCCAAAACAAAACAAAAUUAUCAAAUGUAAUUAUUGCAGUAUUUGAUGAUAAUAAAUCCAAGUAAAGAUUUGAGAAAGUUCUUGUAUGCAUCACGUGCUUACUAUGUAUUGCAUCACGUGCCUACCACAUCACUCUCUCUAUUCCGAUUUGGUAACCCACAUCAGCAAACGAGAAAACAAAAUGAAAGCAUUUUUCAGGUAAAUAUUAUUUGUUUACAGUUUUACAACACCAAGUUUUCAUUCAAUCCUCCUCUAAUUUACCUCUAUUGAAUUUCUCUCUCUUCUCUCUCUCUAUUUCUCUCCGAUCCAUCAACGAAACUGACGAAUUGUAAACCCCUUCGGUUAAAACAUUCUGUAGUCGAAAUUGAGGUACCGCCAAUUCAUUCUCGCACUUGAUUUAGCUCGUGAUUUUGAUUGGAGCGGAUUGAAUUGGGGGUGAAAAGUUCUGUGAAAGUUCGAUUUUGUUGAGGAUCCGGGUAUUUUUUCUAUCAUUUCUUACAAGGUGAGUGAACUGAUGACAACUCCGGGAGGACCUAGACCUAGGCCGGGUAGUUAUCCUCCGAAUUAUAACCCAAAUGCAGUUGCUAAUAACAUGCAAAAUCUAAACAUCAAUCAACCCAAUCAGCAGCAAUCGAGCAAUUUCGGUGGUGGUAGUGCCCCUAGGCCCCCUAACACUACACCGUUCGGGCAACAGCCGCCGCCUUUCACCGGCAGUCGACCUGGCCCUCCCCCGCCCGGCGCCUUUCCGAGGGGGCCUGCACCCCCUAACUUCCCUCCCCAAGCUACAUUUCCCCCAAAUACAGUGUCUUCUAGACCCACCGGUCCACCACCAGGAUCACAGCCUCCUACGUUUGCAUCAAGGGGACCUCCACCCCCUGGUGCAUUGCCAUCAUCCAUUGGUGGGCCUGUUUCUCCCUCGCCCUCUGGUCCGGGCCCACGAACGGGGCCUUUCUCGUAUGCCCCUCCGACGUCCGCUCCGCCCCACAUGAGCGGUUCUGGCCCAGUUAGUAACGGGCCACCUGCAUAUGCCCAAAGUGGACCACGGUUCGCUCCUCCAAUGGGUACUAGUAUGCAGAGGCCAUCAAUGGGGCCCCCGCCAUCGCUUUCAUCCGGGAUGUCUUCUCAGCCACCCCAGAUGCGGGCUAGCUUUGGAAGUCCUCCACCUGGAGCACCAUUUUCUGCGGGGCCACCACAGAACAUGCCGCCACCGCCACCUAUGGGUUCAUCCCCAUUUCCAGCUCCAGUUCCAGGCAUGCUUCAAUCUUCUGGUAAUCCUUAUGGAACGCAGACAUGGCCACCGCAGCAGCCACAACAGCAGCAGCCUAUGUUUGGAAUGCCGCCAGGUGGACCACCGUUUCCAAACCAAUCCAUGGCUUUGGGUCAAACAGGUCAAUCCAAAAUCGACCCUAACCAGAUUCCGCGCCUUACUUCAAGUUCUGCUGUAAUUUUGCACGAAACCCGUCAGGGAAAUCAGGCAAACCCUCCUCCGCCUGCAACAAGUGAUUAUAUAGUCAAAGACACUGGAAAUUGCAGUCCACGCUACAUUAGAUGUACAAUAAAUCAGAUUCCAUGUACCCAGGAACUUGUAUCUACAUCUGCAAUGCAGUUGGCUUUGUUGGUGCAGCCUUUAGCUCUUCCACACCCAUCUGAGGAGCCCAUUCAUGUUGUUGAUUUUGGAGAAAGUGGUCCUGUUCGAUGUUCUCGUUGCAAAGGUUACGUUAAUCCUUUUGUGAAGUUUAUUGAUCAAGGAAGACGUUUCAUUUGUAACUUGUGUGGAUUUACGGAUGAAACUCCACGUGACUAUCACUGCAACUUAGGUCCAGAUGGUCGGCGUAGAGAUGCUGAUGAAAGGCCUGAGUUAUGCAGAGGAACAGUUGAAUUUGUUGCUUCUAAGGAAUACAUGGUGCGAGAUCCAAUGCCUGCUGUAUUUUUCUUCCUUAUUGACGUAUCCAUGAAUGCCAUACAAACUGGUGCAACUGCGGCAGCUUGCAGUGCAAUCAACCAAGUCAUAGCUGAUCUUCCUAAGGCUCCUCAAACAAUGGUGGGCAUUGCUACAUUUGAUUCCACCAUCCACUUUUAUAACCUAAAACGAGAGUUACAGCAGCCAUUGAUGCUUAUAGUUCCUGAUGUACAAGAUGUCUACACUCCUCUCCAAAGUGAUGUUAUUGUUCAACUUGCUGAGUGCCGCCAGCAUUUAGAGAUCUUGCUGGAAAGUAUUCCUACAAUGUUUCAGAGUAAUAGAACUGCUGAUUCGUCAUUUGGUGCUGCAGUAAAGGCUGCUUUCCUGGCAAUGAAAAGCACUGGUGGCAAACUUCUUGUUUUUCAAUCAGUCUUGCCAUCAAUUGGCAUUGGAUCCCUUUCUGCGAGAGAAGCGGAGGGUAGAAGCAACAUGUCAGCAGCAGAAAAGGAGGCUAACAAAUUACUCCAACCAGUUGACAAGACUCUAAAAACUAUGGCCAUUGAAUUUGCAGAGUAUCAGGUGUCUGUUGACUUGUUUAUUACAACACAAUCAUAUGUAGAUAUUGCUUCGCUCUCUGUCAUCCCGAAAACUACUGGAGGCCAGGUAAUGUGAAUAAAUUCAAGUUCUUGAUCGUAUAGCAUUAUGUGUGACCAUUGGUAGCAGGAUGCGACCCUUGAGCCAGAAUGUUUAUUGCUGCUGCAUAUUUAUCCUCGUGUUGCUGGGACAUUCUUGUGUACUCUUAAAUUAACAUUAUUUUUUUCUCAGAUCGAUUGUGACAAAACGAUAAUGGUAACCCUAAAACACGACGACAAACUGCAUGAAGGUUCAGAAUGUGCUUUUCAGUGUGCCCUUCUUUACACCACCGUGUAUGGGCAAAGACGAAUCCGAGUUUCAACCUUGUCUCUGUCUUGCACCAACAUGCUCAGUAAUUUGUUCAGAUCGGCUGACCUAGACACCCAAUUUGCUUGCCUCUUGAAGCAAGCUGCUAAUGAAAUACCUUCAGCUCCUCUUGCACAAGUGAGAGAUCAAGCUACAAAUGUUUGCAUCAACAUUUUAUAUUCGUAUCGCAAGUAUUGUGCCACGGUAACAUCAUCUUCUGGACAACUCAUUCUGCCCGAGGCACUUAAACUGUUACCUUUAUAUACACUCGCUCUGCUCAAAAGCACUGGAUUACGCUCUGAUGGAAGAAUUGAUGAUAGGUCCUUUUGGAUUAGUAAUGUUUCCCCUUUGCCCACUCCUUCGGUAAUCCCGUUGGUGUUUCCUAGGAUGAUAGCCAUUCAUGACCUUGAUGACAAGGACGAGUCGGAUGAUUCGAUAAUUCCAAGUCACAUCCCACUUUCCAGCGAGCACAUUACUGAUGAAGGAAUAUACCUUCUCGAGAAUGGAGAAGAUUGUUUAAUUUAUGUUGGUAAUUCUGCUCAACCGAAUAUUUUGCAACAACUGUUUGGCGUAUCGUCACUUGAAGAAAUUUCUAAUCAGUUUGUUCUGCAAGAAUUCGAAAAUCCACUGUCAAAGAAGCUGAACGCUGUUGUAAACGAAAUAAGGCGUCAGCGAUGUUCUUAUCUACGCUUUAAAUUGUGCAAAAAGGGAGAUGCAUCAGGGAUGAUGUUCUUCUCUUACAUGGUAGAAGACAAGUUGUCAAGCGGGCUCUCGUAUGUUGAGUACCUCGUACAUAUCCACAGGCAGAUUCAAAGUAAAAUGCCUUGAAGUUGUAUACAAAUGUUUCGCCCUAAAAGUUUUGGUUACCCCACGGAACGAAACACGAGCGAAAAAUACCGAUUUUGUGCUCUGAUUUCCAUCCGAUGUAACGCCUUAAUUUUAUUUUAUUUUGUUUUUAAUUUUUUUUUUGUUUAUUUAAGGGUGGGGGUUGUAAUUUUAUGAGAAGAGGAUUUGGGAAUUUUGAUGGUUCCUAUAUAUAUAGGUAAAGGAAGGAAAUGAAACUCAAGAAAGGGUUUGCAUUUCUAGUUCUAUUGUUUGACAUCCCUAUUUAUCAUGUUUUGUUAUAUUUGUAUUGUAAUAAUAAUAAUAAUAAAUAAUAAUGUACAAUUGAGAUGUAUAAACGUGUUUGUGUUAGAUGCGACAUUGUGUUGUACUGUGUUACAUGGAUUUAGUGUUUCUUGUUGAGCCUU
This is a non-coding RNA of Erythranthe guttata (spotted monkey flower), 4120 nucleotides long. Lineage: Eukaryota; Viridiplantae; Streptophyta; Magnoliopsida; Lamiales; Phrymaceae. The record is from RefSeq and is a predicted model, not a curated record.